UACGGGAGGCAGCAGUGGGGAAUAUUGCACAAUGGGCGAAAGCCUGAUGCAGCUAUGCCGCGUGUAUGAAGAAGGCCUUAGGGUUGUAAAGUACUUUCAUCGGGGAGGAAAAAACAAAACUAAUAAUUUUAUUUCUUGACGUUACCCGAAAAAGAAGCACCGGCUAACUCCGUGCCAGCAGCCGCGGUAAUACGGAGGGUGCUAGCGUUAAUCAGAAUUACUGGGCGUAAAGAGCACGUAGGUGGUUUUUUUAAAGUCAGAUGUGAAAUCCCCGGGCUUAACCUGGGAAUGGCAUUUCAAGACUGGUUAGCUAGAGUCUUGUAGAGGGGGUUAGAAUUCCAUGUGUAGCGGUUGAAAUGCGUAGAGAUGUGGAGGAAUACCGGUGGCGAAGGCGGCCCCUGGACAAAGACUGACGCUCAUGUGCGAAAGCGUGGGGAGCAAACAGGGAUUAGAUACC
This 457-nucleotide ribosomal RNA is filed under the name uncultured bacterium. Its description in RNAcentral is "bacterial SSU rRNA". It matches the Rfam family "Bacterial small subunit ribosomal RNA", at positions 340 to 786 of the family's 1533-position model. The record is from RNAcentral.